AGUGAACGCUGGCGGUGGGCCUAUCACAUGCAAGUCGAACGGCAGCACAGUAAGAGCUUGCUCUUACGGGUGGCGAGUGGCGGACGGGUGAGGAAUACAUCGGAAUCUACUUUUUCGUGGGGGAUAACGUAGGGAAACUUACGCUAAUACCGCAUACGACCUACGGGUGAAAGCAGGGGAUCUUCGGACCUUGCGCGAUUGAAUGAGCCGAUGUCGGAUUAGCUAGUUGGCGGGGUAAAGGCCCACCAAGGCGACGAUCCGUAGCUGGUCUGAGAGGAUGAUCAGCCACACUGGAACUGAGACACGGUCCAGACUCCUACGGGAGGCAGCAGUGGGGAAUAUUGGACAAUGGGCGCAAGCCUGAUCCAGCCAUACCGCGUGGGUGAAGAAGGCCUUCGGGUUGUAAAGCCCUUUUGUUGGGAAAGAAAAGCAGCAGGUUAAUACCCCGCUGUUCUGACGGUACCCAAAGAAUAAGCACCGGCUAACUUCGUG
Molecule: ribosomal RNA, 492 nt
Filed under: uncultured bacterium
Lineage: Bacteria
Description: partial 16S ribosomal RNA
Rfam family: Bacterial small subunit ribosomal RNA
Source: RNAcentral